This 502-nucleotide ribosomal RNA is filed under the name uncultured bacterium. RNAcentral describes it as "partial 16S ribosomal RNA". It matches the Rfam family "Bacterial small subunit ribosomal RNA", at positions 30 to 523 of the family's 1533-position model. The record is from RNAcentral.
AUUGAACGCUGGCGGCAUGCCUUACACAUGCAAGUCGAACGGCAGCGCGGGAGCUUGCUCCUGGUGGCGAGUGGCGAACGGGUGAGUAAUACAUCGGAACGUACCCAGUAGUGGGGGAUAACGCACCGAAAGGUGCGCUAAUACCGCAUACGACCUACGGGUGAAAGCGGGGGACCGUAAGGCCUCGCGCUAUUGGAGCGGCCGAUGUCUGAUUAGCUAGUUGGCGGGGUAAAAGCCCACCAAGGCGACGAUCAGUAGCUGGUCUGAGAGGACGAUCAGCCACACUGGGACUGAGACACGGCCCAGACUCCUACGGGAGGCAGCAGUGGGGAAUUUUGGACAAUGGGGGCAACCCUGAUCCAGCAAUGCCGCGUGUGCGAAGAAGGCCUUCGGGUUGUAAGGCGCUUUUGUCAGGGAAGAAAUCUUUCAGGCUAAUACCUCCUGCUAAUGACGGUACCUGAAGAAUAAGCACCGGCUAACUACGUGCCAGCCGCCGCAGUAA